RNAcentral lists this ribosomal RNA (402 nucleotides) under uncultured bacterium. Its description in RNAcentral is "bacterial SSU rRNA". It matches the Rfam family "Bacterial small subunit ribosomal RNA", at positions 30 to 430 of the family's 1533-position model. The record is from RNAcentral.
AUUGAACGCUGGCGGCGUGCUUAACACAUGCAAGUCGUGCGGUAACAGGCGUAGCAAUACGUGCUGACGAGCGGCGAACGGGUGCGUAAUACAUGGGAAUCUGCCUUUUAGUGGGGAAUAACCCGGCGAAAGCCGGGCUAAUGCCGCAUAAGAUCUUCGGAUGAAAGCGGGGAGUCGUAAGACCUCGCGCUGAUAGAUGAGCCCACUGCCGGAUUAGCUAGUGGUGAGGUAACGGCUCACCAAGGCGACGAUCCGUAGCUGGUCUGAGAGGACGGCCAGCCACACUGGGACUGAGACACGGCCCAGACUCCUACGGGAGGCAGCAGUGGGGAAUAUUGGACAAUGGGGAAACCCGUGAUCCAGCGACGCCGCGUGUGUGAAGAAGGCCUGCGGGUUGUAAAG